CNUAGGUAACCUACCCUUAAGACGAGGAUAGCCAUUGGAAACGAUGGAUAAAACUGGAUAGGAUAUAGAGGAAGAAUCUUUUAUAUUUAAAAGAGAGAUCUGCUUAAGGAGGGGCCUGUGGCGCAUUAGCUAGUUGGUGGGGUAAGGGCCUACCAAGGCGAUGAUGCGUAGCCGGACUGAGAGGUUGAACGGCCACAAUGGAACUGAGAACGGUCCAUACUCCUACGGGAGGCAGCAGUAGGGAAUUUUCGGCAAUGGGGGGAACCCUGACCGAGCAACGCCGCGUGAACGAAGAAGUUAUUCGUAAUGUAAAGUUCUUUUAUCAGGGAAGAAAGAGGAAUUUGACGGUACCUGAGGAAUAAGCUCCGGCUAACUACGUGCCAGCAGCCGCGGUAAUACGUAGGGAGCGAGCGUUAUCCGGAAUUAUUGGGCGUAAAGGGUGCGUAGAUGGCAUAGUAAGUCUUUUGUAAAAAUGCUGGGCUCAACCAGUAGGGCAAAAGAUACUGCAAAGCUAGAGUAUGACAGAGGCAAGUGGAACUACAUGUGUAGCGGUAAAAUGCGUAAAUAUAUGUAAGAACACCAGUGGCGAAGGCGGCUUGCUGGGUCGAUACUGACAUUGAAGCACGAAAGCGUGGGGAGCAAACAGGAUUAGAUACCCUGGUAGUCCACGCCCUAAACGAUGAGUACUAAGUGUUGGUGA
This 700-nucleotide ribosomal RNA is filed under the name uncultured bacterium. RNAcentral describes it as "bacterial SSU rRNA". It matches the Rfam family "Bacterial small subunit ribosomal RNA", at positions 116 to 829 of the family's 1533-position model. The record is from RNAcentral.